Non-coding RNA from Paramisgurnus dabryanus, 426 nucleotides. NCBI's taxonomy places the organism in Eukaryota, Metazoa, Chordata, Actinopteri, Cypriniformes, Cobitidae. The record is from RefSeq and is a predicted model, not a curated record.
CAGGAUUAGGUGAGUUGUGAUUGACAGCUACUUUCACCUAUCAGGAAGGGGCAGUCCCAUUUAAGCACUGAUUGGCUGCUGCCCGGAAUGCGUCAUGUCCUGUGUUUCCCCCGGGUGUUUGCAGCAAUAGCGACAGCGUGUUUGUCCAGCGUACUGGUGCCCUUGUGCUGUUGAUGGCUUAAAUGACUGUGCACCCUCAGUUGGCUGUGGUUGACCUGUUGUAGGUUAAACGGUGCUGUAAAAGACGUUAAUGUGUCUGGGGUGAUGCCACUGGGCGGGUUCUCCCUUUUGCUCUACAUUAUGUUUACCUCUUGAGUGUUCUCGUGCGGCUGUCGCAUCGCUGUAAAACCGACAUCAUCAUACUCCUUGCAGUACAAUGGAUUGUACACUGUCUGGUUCCUGCCUUUAGUGUUAUAUAUCUUGGAG